GUUCAAAGGAAAAGGCAGAUAGGCUGCUCUAGAAGUGGGUCUCUGAAAGCUGUCAGGGCCACGCUGAUCUCAGGUGGUUGCCUGCCUGGGCUGAUGAGCAUCGGGCUCCUGGGCUGGGACCCGAGCUGUUCCAGCAGAGGCCACCUGGCAAUUAGCGGGGAAGCAAGAUCUUUCCCUGGCUCCUAGCUGCACCUGUGGUUACUCUGCUGAGUGCCAUGACUGUAUUUAAAGCAGCCCCACAGAGAGGCCUAUUUUCAUUUGGUUUGUCUUAGCUUGGUUUGAGCAUCUCCCUGCUUGGUGUCCUGUGGUUUUAGCUGGUUUCUCCCUCCCUUUGUGUCACUGGUGCAAGGAGACUGAACUACUUGCAUGCCUACUCAGAAAGCGCAAAAUAGGAACAGAUGCUGCUUGUAUCAGAAAGCGACCUGGGAGGCCAGAGGUAUGUCAGACUUCUGAUGGAAUGACAGCCAAAGAGACCAGAAGAGCUUUGCCAGUGUUACUGAGCUGUGCAAACUCCUCACAGCAGGGACUGCUGUUUUGCAGGGACAACUUUGCAGAUGUGCAUUAUUACAUCAAACAUAAGAGGGAAUGUGGCCAUUACCCCAUGCUCUGGUUGCCUUUCCUGGAUGGUUUGGAGUUGAAGGGAAUGCAGGCUACUUGACUACUGAGACUGAGGGUGUCUCAUAGAAAUAUCUAAAAAUCCAAAUGGAAAAUGAAAACGUGCUGAAGCUGUGGAUCAGCAUGUGCAGAAGAGCAUGGAGCACCAUUCCCGAGAGUAGCCCUACAGGGUAGCCAGCAGUGAGAAAUGGGUCUCUUUCCUACUGUAAGCAGUGUCCUACUGCUUAGCUGAUGCUGUGGUUUUGGUGCUCAGAGGUAGCUCUGUAACAUCAGGGCCCUGUGGCACCAUGCUCGGGCUCAAGUGGCUCUUGUAGGAUUGAGAUCCCCUUGGUAUUUCUUCCCGAUGUGUUAGGAAGCUGGAUGGGUUUUCUGUAAGUAGCCAGGUGGUGCUUUCUUAUUCUAGCUGGGAUUGCUUAGCUGGCAUGCUUUGUUCUGAAAAGUGCAAAAAAUAAAUUGUAACACCUGAUGUACUCA
RNAcentral lists this long non-coding RNA (1089 nucleotides) under Anser brachyrhynchus (Pink-footed goose). Its description in RNAcentral is "lncRNA (ENSABRG00000001599.1)". Lineage: Eukaryota; Metazoa; Chordata; Aves; Anseriformes; Anatidae. The record is from RNAcentral.